ACAAAAGUUAGGGGACGAAUUUUUCUUCGUCAAAGAAGAAAGAAAGUCAGCGAAGCAACUCUAUAAAACUCAUCAUUCAGCAAAAAAAUAUACACAUAUCAUUUUACAAAGUUCACUUGUAAAAUCCACAAAGUUUCAAAUAACUAAAUAAAAAAAUAAUGUAUCACCGCUUGGUUUGCUUAGUUACUUUGAUUAUUCUAUUGUUCACUGGAUCAUCAACCACAGCUUUCGCUCGGAUACCUUACCAAUCAUCCAUGACAAAAUAUGGAGAAAUGGUUUGGGAUCAAAAGAUGAUUGGAAAUAUCAAGAUCGACGUAGGAAGCAGUAAUUCAAGGCCAGCACGUCAAAAAGAUAGCCCAAGUCCGCCAGGCGCCAACAUGUAGCUUUCUUGGACAACUGAAAGUUGGAUGUGUUGUUCCACAGAAUCUAUUUUGGCUAAACGAAAAUAUAUCAGAUUUACGCUUUGUUUACAUACGCAGUACAAAAGUAUGACGUUUAAGUUGUUAACAUUGUGGUCAGAAUUUAUGCCUUUGCUAUAAGAAAACAUGUGCAACGAAAUUUAUUUUCUUUUGUAUAAACAAUAUCAAGAUUUAGUAAAACAAA
Long non-coding RNA from Brassica napus (rape), 603 nucleotides. RefSeq lists it as uncharacterized. NCBI's taxonomy places the organism in Eukaryota, Viridiplantae, Streptophyta, Magnoliopsida, Brassicales, Brassicaceae. The record is from RefSeq and is a predicted model, not a curated record. The transcript is spliced from 2 exons.